CCCUUAGAUGUUCUGGGCCGCACGCGUGCUACACUGAGUGGAUCAGCGGGUCAGGUUGCGCGAAAGUGUUUCCUAAUCUUUAAAUACGCUCGUGAUGGGGAUUGACGGUUGCAAUUUUCCGUCAUGAACGAGGAAUACCUUGUAAGCGCGGGUCAUCAUCCCGCGCUGAAUACGUCCCUGCCCUUUGUACACACCGCCCGUCGCUCCUACCGAUUGAGUGGUCCGGUGAGGCUUUGGGAUCUGAGCGGAAAGAGCGUUUCGCUGUUUCUGCCCGGAAAACUCAGUCGAACCUUAUCAUUUAGAGGAAGGAGAAGUCGUAACA
RNAcentral lists this ribosomal RNA (322 nucleotides) under uncultured eukaryote. Its description in RNAcentral is "partial 18S ribosomal RNA". It matches the Rfam family "Eukaryotic small subunit ribosomal RNA", at positions 1470 to 1796 of the family's 1831-position model. The record is from RNAcentral.